Molecule: unclassified non-coding RNA, 362 nt
Filed under: Candida sp. MK1-2020
Lineage: Eukaryota; Fungi; Ascomycota; Pichiomycetes; Serinales; Debaryomycetaceae
Description: sequence contains 18S rRNA gene, ITS1, 5.8S rRNA gene, ITS2, 28S rRNA gene
Rfam family: 5.8S ribosomal RNA (bases 126-278)
Source: RNAcentral
AGGAAGUAAAAGUCGUAACAAGGUUUCCGUAGGUGAACCUGCGGAAGGAUCAUUAAAAAAUAUUGACACACAACCCAUUUCAUUAGAAAAACAACAAAACAAAAACUUCAAUAGCCAAAACAAAAAACUUUCAACAACGGAUCUCUUGGCUCUCGCACCGAUGAAGAACGCAGCGAAAUGCGAUACGUAGUAUGACUCGCAGCCUUCGUGAAUCAUCGAAUCUUUGAACGCACAUUGCACCCAGUGGCAUUCCACUGGGUAUGCCUGGCUGAGCGUCUUUUCUCCCUCAACACUGUUGGCUGUGGGAACACGUUCCCCAAAGAAAAAAGACGAUUCGGGAGCAACAACGCUUCUUCCGAACA